AGCAAAAUAUCUGCUGCGGAGAGAAGCAUCAAGAAGAAAAUUACAUCAGUUGAAGAAAAACACCAGCUCACUGCAGUUUAUCUCUGUGAUGAAAAUGUUACCCUAAGCUGUUCAGCAAAUGUCUGAGAAGAACUGGCAUUCCAGAACUGGAAUGGAGAGACAAAAUCAGCGCAUCUUCUCAUUUCCUCUAUAAGGAUCCCAGAGAACGGAACAAUGCCUAACUUAACGAUUUUAAAAGAACGCAAAACCACGAACGCAGAAGAACGGCAAAGCUCAGCCCGCGGCCCCGCAAACAACGGAAUCAACUGGCCGCCGGGGGCAGCGGCGCAACGUGGGAAGGAGGCGCGUUCUUUCGUUCCCCUUCCGUCCCAGACCCUCCUUUCUUACCUUCGAAAGAAA
Lagopus leucura (white-tailed ptarmigan) is the source of this 399-nucleotide long non-coding RNA. RefSeq lists it as uncharacterized. The transcript is spliced from 3 exons. The record is from RefSeq and is a predicted model, not a curated record. NCBI's taxonomy places the organism in Eukaryota, Metazoa, Chordata, Aves, Galliformes, Phasianidae.